ACGGCCUUAGCGCGGUGGUCCCACCUGACCCCAUGCCGAACUCAGAAGUGAAACGCCGUAGCGCCGAUGGUAGUGUGGGGUCUCCCCAUGCGAGAGUAGGGAACUGCCAGGC
This 112-nucleotide ribosomal RNA is filed under the name Escherichia coli. Lineage: Bacteria; Pseudomonadati; Pseudomonadota; Gammaproteobacteria; Enterobacterales; Enterobacteriaceae. The record is from RNAcentral.